Molecule: ribosomal RNA, 381 nt
Filed under: uncultured bacterium
Lineage: Bacteria
Description: bacterial SSU rRNA
Rfam family: Bacterial small subunit ribosomal RNA
Source: RNAcentral
GACGAACGCUGGCGGCGUGCUUAACACAUGCAAGUCGAGCGGUAAGGCCCUUUCGGGGGUACACGAGCGGCGAACGGGUGAGUAACACGUGGGUGACCUGCCCUCAGCUCUGGGAUAAGCCUGGGAAACCGGGUCUAAUACUGGAUAUGACUCCAUGACGCAUGUUGUGGGGUGGAAAGCCUUGUGCGGCUGAGGAUGGGCCCGCGGCCUAUCAGCUUGUUGGUGGGGUGANGGCCUACCAAGGCGACGACGGGUAGCCGGCCCGACGAGGGCGACCGGCCACACUGGGACUGAGACACGGCCCAGACUCCUACGGGAGGCAGCAGUGGGGAAUUUUUCGCAAUGGGGGAAACCCUGACGAAGCAACGCCGCGUGGAGGAU